GGACUACCGGGGUAUCUAAUCCCGUUCGCUACCCUAGCUUUCGCGCCUCAGCGUCAGAAGAGGUCCAGCACGUCGCUUUCGCCACCGGCGUUCCUUCCGAUAUCAACGCAUUUCACCGCUCCACCGGAAGUUCCACAUGCCCCUACCUCCCUCCAGACGAGCAGUAUCCAAGGCACUUUUCCGGUUAAGCCGAAAGAUUUCACCCCGGACUUGCUCGCCCGCCUACGCGCCCUUUAAGCCCAGUGAUUCCGAACAACGUUCGCACGGUUCGUCUUACCGCGGCUGCUGGCAC
Molecule: ribosomal RNA, 292 nt
Filed under: uncultured bacterium
Lineage: Bacteria
Also listed under: 2 other names
Description: partial 16S ribosomal RNA
Source: RNAcentral